This 460-nucleotide ribosomal RNA is filed under the name uncultured bacterium. Its description in RNAcentral is "partial 16S ribosomal RNA". It matches the Rfam family "Bacterial small subunit ribosomal RNA", at positions 338 to 795 of the family's 1533-position model. The record is from RNAcentral.
CCUACGGGGGGCAGCAGUGAGGAAUAUUGGUCAAUGGACGAGAGUCUGAACCAGCCAAGUAGCGUGAAGGAUGACUGCCCUAUGGGUUGUAAACUUCUUUUAUAUGGGAGUAAAAUGUUCCACGUGUGGGAUUUUGUAUGUACCAUAUGAAUAAGGAUCGGCUAACUCCGUGCCAGCAGCCGCGGUAAUACGGAGGAUCCGAGCGUUAUCCGGAUUUAUUGGGUUUAAAGGGAGCGUAGGUGGAUUGGUAGGUCAGUUGUGAAAGUUUACGGCUCAACCGUAAAAGUGCAGUUGAAACUGGCAGUCUUGAGUACAGUAGAGGUGGGCGGAAUUCGUGGUGUAGCGGUGAAAUGCUUAGAUAUCAGGAAGAACUCCGAUUGCGAAGGCAGCUCACUGGACUGCAACUGACACUGAGGCUCGAAAGUGUGGGGAUCAAACAGGAUUAGAUACCCGAGUAGUC